Molecule: ribosomal RNA, 467 nt
Filed under: uncultured bacterium
Lineage: Bacteria
Description: partial 16S ribosomal RNA
Rfam family: Bacterial small subunit ribosomal RNA
Source: RNAcentral
GACGAACGCUGGCGGCGUGCUUAACACAUGCAAGUCGAACGGAAAGGCUCCAGCUUGCUGGAGUGCUCGAGUGGCGAACGGGUGAGUAACACGUGGGCAAUCUUCCCUGCACUCUGGGAUAAGCCUGGGAAACUGGUUCUAAUACCUGAUAGGACCUUUCUCCUCAUGGGGUUUGGUGGACAGUUUUUCGGUGCAGGAUGAGCCCGCGGCCUAUCAGCUUGUUGGUGGGGUAAUGGCCUACCAAGGCGACGACGGGUAGCCGGCCUGAGAGGGUGAUCGGCCACAUGGGGACUGAGAUACGGCCCAGACUCCUACGGGAGGCAGCAGUGGGGAAUAUUGCACAAUGGGCGAAAGCCUGAUGCAGCGACGCCGCGUGAGGGAUGACGGCCUUCGGGUUGUAAACCGCUUUCAGUAGGGACGAAGCGCAAGUGACGGUACCUGCAGAAGAAGCACCGGCUAACUACGUG